ACGCGCGCACAGCUGGCUCGAGCUGAUCGAGUAGAUAAGGUAGAUGGAUAUUAUUAGUUUUCCCUUAGGAGUUAUCAGUUCCAUAAUUUCAGGAGUUUGUUACUCCAGUUAGUUGGGCUAUGGCCCUAUAUAUUCUUGUAACCAGGACCAUUAAGGCAAGCAGAUUAUUAGCCUCAUCUCUCUCUUAUUUUCUAAAAGCCUACGGUAGAGGGGAAUAACCUCACCGGAGAAGACGGCCGACGGCUACGAGCUCCGUAGCCGCGGUCCAGCCAGCCAAGGGUUUUGUGAGAGAGUUGGAAGCGUGUGUUUGUAUAUUGAUAAUGAUAGACAGCACAUGUACAGGAAUAUAUAGGGGAGGAAGGUGAGAGGUAAAAGGAAGCCUUCUACACCUAAGGAAAGAUCUAGAGUACAAUCAGAUCCUCAAUCAUAGUGAUUGAGAUCCUCAAUCAGAUCCUCAAUCAUAGUGAUUGAGAUCCUCCCCUAAUCCUCUCUAUCUAUAUCAGACAAUACUUCCAUAUAGGGCGGCCGGCAUAUCUGCCAGGCGACAGCCAGGAUACAGUUUCUAACACCCCCCCGCAGUGUUAGCGUCCGUGGAGCGAACGGUAAGACUGGUCCGAAAUUCAGUGAAGACUGCUGAUGGUAAGCCUUUGGUGAAGAUGUCGGCGUACUGAGAAGUCGUCGGGACAUGUAGCACGCGAACAACACCGAGGGCGACCUUGUCACGGACGAAGUGAAGAUCAAUUUCCACAUGCUUGGUGCGCUGAUGCUGAACAGGAUUGGAGGACAUAUAAACAGCACUGAUGUUGUCACAGUAGACCAAUGAGGACUUGGGGAGAGGAACAUGCAGUUCUGUCAACAACUGUCGUAACCAGGAUACUUCAGCGACUGCAUUGGCAACAGCGCGGUACUCGGCUUCGGCACUGGAGCGGGAGACCGUGUUCUGGCGCUUGGAAGACCAUGAGACGAGGUUAGCACCGAGGAAAACAUCAUAACCGGAAGUAGAUCUCCUGGUGUCUGGACAGCCAGCCCAAUCAGCAUCAGAGUAAACCACAAGUUCCAUUUGCGGAGAGGAACUGAGGUGAAGGCCCAUCUGAAGAGUGCCUCGGAUAUAGCGCAGGAUACGCUUGAGAGCAGCCAAAUGAGGUUCCCGAGGGUCGUGCAUAUGGAGACAGACUUGCUGAACAGCAUAUGCAAUAUCCGGACGGGUGAAGGUGAGGUAUUGUAGUGCGCCGGCAAGACUGCGGAAUUCCGUGGGAUCGGAGACAGGGUCACCGUCGGCUGAAAGUUUGGGGUUGAUAUCAACAGGAGUUGUACAGGGUUUGCAGUUACUCAUACCAGCUCGCUCAAGUAUCUCAAUCAUAUACUGGCGCUGAGAAAGAGUGAUGCCAGAAGCAGAUUGUUGAACAUGCAUGCCCAGGAAGUGAUGAAGGGGGCCAAGAUCCUUCAGUGAAAAUUCCUGUUGGAGAGCAGUAAUAGUCCGCCGGAGAAGAUUCAUGGACGAAGCAGUUAGCACAAUAUCAUCCACGUAAAGAAGAAGGUAAAUCAUAUCUGUGCCCUUGUGGUAGACGAAUAAUGAAGUGUCAGACUUGGCCUCAACGAAUCCAAUUUGAAUCAAGUGAGAAGCAAAUCUACUGUACCAGGCACGAGGGGCCUGUUUGAGGCCAUAAAGUGACCGAUUGAGACGGCACACAUAAUCAGGAUGAGUGGAAUCUUCAAAACCGGUGGGCUGAACACAGUAAACAGUUUCUGACAGGGUCCCCUGAAGAAAAGCAUUGUUGACAUCAAGCUGGUGAAUCGGCCAUUUGUGUGAGAGAGCCAGGGAAAGAACGGUCCGGACUGUAGCUGGCUUGACCACUGGACUGAAAGUUUCUGAAAAAUCAAUACCAGGGCGUUGAGUGAAACCCCGAAGAACCCAUCUUGCCUUGUAGCGCUCAAGAGAACCAUCAGCUUUGAACUUGUGUUUGAAAACCCACUUGCCAGUCACAACAUUGCAAUUCGGCGGUCGAGGCAGAAGAUCCCAAGUGUGAUUACCAAUAAGAGCAGAAUAUUCCUGUUCCAUAGCGGAGCGCCAAUUUGAAUCAGUAAGGGCUACGCGAUAUGUCCUCGGAAUGGGGGACAGUGCGGCGGCUUCAAAAAGAGCAGGAAACCGAAGACCACUCUUGCCGCGGGUUGUCAUCCUGUGGUGGUUGACCACUGGAUCGACAGGAACUGCACCAGCAGGAAUAGGUGGUGCAGUGGCGGUCGUCGGAGAAGGUGCUGGAGCAGUAGCGGUGGGCGGGCGUCGAGAGUAGACCCGUCCGCAGAAACGAUCAGCAGGAGCUGUCGUUCUAUGGACGUCGGGUACGGUAGUAGACCCAGGCGGCAGUAUUGUUGGUGCCGAUGCGCCUGGGAGACCAGCCAUCCGGGCAGGAGACUGGGACACCGGGGCAGGCCCAGCUGGCGCGGCAGGUGGCUGAAAUGCCACCUCUGAGGAGACGAGGGGCACAGCCGGCGAAGGGGCCACCGGUGGGGGUGGUGGUGGCAUACGAGUACCUGAAAAAGAAGACACGGGCGACAGUCCAAAAGGAGCUGCAACCGGGUUAGUGUAAUUGUCAAGGAAAUCGAAGGCCGCUGGUGGGGGUGGAUGGGAAGCCUCAGAAAAGGGAAACGAGGUUUCAUCAAAAACCACAUGACGGGAGAUAAUGGUGCGAUUGGAGUGGCGAUCAAAGCAUAGGUAGCCUUUGUGGUGGGGGGAAUAGCCAAGGAAGACACAAAGGGUUGAGCGAGGGGAUAAUUUAUGUGGAGUGGUGGCAGAAAGGUUGGGGUAGCAUUUGCAGCCAAAAACGCGAAGGUGGUCAUAGGAUGGGUUGUGACCGAAGAGAGCAAAAUGCGGUGUAGAGAGUGCGAGUGUUUUUGUGGGUAGGAUGUUGAGAAGGUAUGUUGCAGUCCCAAGAGCCGCAGCCCAAAAAUUGGGGGGAACACUGGAUUGAACGAGGAGGGUGCGGAUGAUAUUGUUGAUGGAACGGAUGACACGUUCAGCCUUACCAUUUUGAGCUGAAGUGUAGGGGCAAGACAUGCGCAGAUGGACUCCAUGGGAGGAGAAAAAAUUGCGGGCUUGAAGGUUGUCAAAUUCGCGGCCAUUGUCGCACUGGAUGCUCUGGAUAGGGACACCAAACUGCGUACGAACGUAGGCAAAGAAAUUGGUUAAGGUGGAAAGGGUGUCAGAUUUGAGACGUAAGGGAAAUGUCCAUAAAUAGUGAGAGCAGUCAUCCAAAAUAACAAGAUAAUAUUUGUGGCCAGACACACUGGUGAUGGGUGAUGUCCAGAGGUCACAGUGAAUUAACUGAAAAUUACAAGUGGCGCGGGAGGAAGAAACAGGAAAUGGUAGACGGACAUGUCGUCCGAGUUGACAAGCAUGACAAGGAUGAGUACUAGUGUUUUUAUUACAGGAAAUUGCGGAUGACUGCGCUAAAUGUGAUAAAACGGCGUGACCGGGAUGUCCAAGUCGUUGGUGCCAUAGGGUAGAUGCAAGAAGAGCAGAGGCCGGGAACCGCAGGGGGUAUAGUGGACCAGAGUUGUUACAUCUGAAGAUCUCGCGCCGAGUGGGAAGAUCCUUCACAGAGCAGCCAAAAGGAUCAAAUUCAACAGAGCAAUUAUUAUCAGUGGUAAAUUGACGGACAUAAAUCAGAUCCUUAAUGAGCGAGGGGGAAACUAGAACAUUAUGAAGAGAAAGGUUAUAGGGAAGACGAGUGGUGCCAGUGGAGGUAACAGGGAUAAGAUGUCCGUUGCCAACGACAAUAUGGGUAGGAAGAUGCUGGGAAGAGGGGGGAUGAGAUAUUAUACCAGCGUCAGAUGUCAUGUGACUGGAGGCACCAGUGUCAAAGUGCCACUCUUGUUGGGGUGGCUGCUGAAGAGUGACAGUUUGGAAGUUGGCAGCGAGGGUGUGUUGAUCCCAGACGGGUGCAGGCGUAGAAGGAUCGGCGUAGGCAGGGGGCGGCCCAUAUGCUGCAGCAGGGACAGCCCACUGACCAGGAGUGCCGGCGACGAAGGCAUGUGGUGGUGGGGGCGAGGCAGCAGGCGGACGAGGAGUCGAAGGUGGACGUUGGCCAGGCCACAUGUAGAUGGCCCCCGUCCAAGGGUUGUAGUAGUUGUAGUUGGAGGAGGGUGCAGGGCCAAUGAUGCCGCUGCUGCUGUUGCUGGAGGUUCUACCACCGCGCUUGCCUCGCUUGCCGCGUUGUCCGGAGGAGGAGCCAUGACCGGAACCGCCCCCGGAAUGGUGGGAGGGCGGGCGCUGAUGUGAAGAACGCCCAGCGGGAGUGGUGGGUGUAGAUGACUUGGAGCUGCUGUUCUCGCCAGGUGGUGUAGUAACAGCAGCGAGAGCUGCUGCAGGAGCAGCAUUAGUCAUGGUGAGUUCCUCCAGAGUGAGAUCAUCGCGGACCUGCAAAAAAGUGGGGAGAGGGGAGGUGCGACGGAGGUGAAGGCCGAGCGCUUGAAAGCGUUCGUUGAGGCCGCGAAUGAUGUUGAGGACAAGGGUCUUGUCGGAGACCGGCUCGCCAAGAUCGCGAAGAUCUUCGGCAAGCUUUUUGUAGCGGCGGCAGUAAUCAGCUGCGGAGAGGUCGCCCUGAGUGAAGGAGCGGAAAGCUUGGUCGGCGUAUAGAGUGCGCGUCGUGCGGUUCCCAAGAAAUUGGGACUCGAUGGCGAGCCACAGGACGCGAGCAGAUGCACCGCGCUCGGAGAUCGUAUCGGCGAGGUUGUCGGUGAUGGAGCCGUUGAUCCAAGACAGAACAACGGCGUUCAUGCGAGUCCAGUCGGGCGAGUGGUGGACAGCAUCAGACAGCACGUGGCAAUCCAGAGAGAAUUUGGUGAGGGUUAGGAGGAAGGACUCACGCCACCGAGAGUAGAAGGUGGAGUUGACGUCGAGGAGGAGUGGAACGAGGGCCCGGAUGUUCUGCACGGCGACGGCUUGAGCGUGCAGAUUGAGAAGUGCAGCCGCUUCGUGUUGGAGAAGAGCGGCAGAAAGCUGGGCGACGGAGUCAGCACCAGUGCCGUCGGAGGUGAGGUCGUUGAUGGGGGGAGAGAGGGCCGCCGCCGCGCGCUCGUGAGCUGCACGGGCGAGGGCCGCACGGAUGCGGGCGUCGGCGGCGUCGCGCUCGCGCUGGGCGAGGGCGGCGUCCUGCUCUGCAGCGGCGGCGCGAGCCAAAGCAGCCUCACGGGCAGCCAGGGCCGCGCGCUCAGAAUCAGCAGAGACGUCGCCGUCAAGAUCGGUGAUGGCCGGAGAGGUUGGCUGGAGGUCGGCCAUGGGGAGAAGCAGCGCCGUAGGGGAGGCGCGCGGGGGGUGGAGGGCAGGAAUCAGGACCUAGGCGGCUGAUACCAUGUGAGAGAGUUGGAAGCGUGUGUUUGUAUAUUGAUAAUGAUAGACAGCACAUGUACAGGAAUAUAUAGGGGAGGAAGGUGAGAGGUAAAAGGAAGCCUUCUACACCUAAGGAAAGAUCUAGAGUACAAUCAGAUCCUCAAUCAUAGUGAUUGAGAUCCUCAAUCAGAUCCUCAAUCAUAGUGAUUGAGAUCCUCCCCUAAUCCUCUCUAUCUAUAUCAGACAAUACUUCCAUAUAGGGCGGCCGGCAUAUCUGCCAGGCGACAGCCAGGAUACAGUUUCUAACAGGUUUAACGCCCUUGACAACCUGGUAUCGCGAUCUAGACGAUCCUCACCAUCCCAACUCAACACCUCUUCCGCAGCCUCCAUCAGCCGCCAAUUUCAGCCGCCGCCAUCACCACAAUCUUCCACUGCCUCCUCAACAGCACCAGCCACCAUGACCGAACCUACCCUCGCCGACGUGCUUGCAUCGCUGAAAUCCCUCACCUCGGAGCUCCAAUACAUGAAGGCAGAGGUGACCGCCUUGAAGGAAAAAUCCGACUCAACGUCGGAUAACGACGGCAGACGACGGUCGGAUGGAAUGCGUGAUCCGGACCCGCCACCGCAACACAAAAAGUGGGAUUUUCCCCGCUUUGACGGCACGACAGAUCCAAUGCUCUUCCUCAACAAGUGCGAGGCCUACUUUCUCCAGCAUCGCACUAUGGCGGAGGAACGCGUGGGACGAGCUUCGUACCAUAUGGACGACAUCGCGCAGCUGUGGUACACCCAACUACAAGAGGACGAGGGCACACCAACGUGGGGGCGAUUCAAGGAGCUCCUGAACCUGCGAUUUGGGCCUCCCCUCCGUUCAGCCCCAAUGUUCGAACUCGCCGAAUGCCGGCGUUCGAGCACAGUCGAGGAGUACGCCAAUCGUUUCCAAGCCCUCCUGCCUCGCGCGGGUCGCCUUGACGAGGCUCAACGCGUACAACUCUUCACGGGGGGUCUUCUUCCACCACUCAGCCACGUCGUCCGCAUUCACGGACCAGAGACGCUCGUGGCAGCCAUGAGUUUAGCGCGGCAGGUGGAACUAAUGGAGUCUGAGCGGCCGGCGCAGCAACCUCCUCGGGCGCCAUCGCGCGGUCAGCCAUCCGCAUACAACCCUCGGGCCGCACUACCUGCGACUCCGCCACUGAUGGCACAUUCCGCCCCUCCGGUGGUCGCCCAGCAGGGCCGCGGCGAAGGGAACCAGCGACGCCUCACUCCGGACGAGAUGGCAGAGCGGCGCCGCCAAAACCUGUGCUUCAACUGCAAUGAACGGUAUACUCGGGGCCACAACAGGUUCUGCAAGCGCCUUUUCUUCAUCGAGGGCGUGGAGAUCGACGACGCUAUAGACAGCAGCGCUGCUGCAGCAGCCGACACAGGGGAGACGGACGCGCCCAUCUUUUCCCUCCAUGCAGUGGCGGGCGUGUCCAUGGGAAAGACCAUGCAGAUCCGCGUCGUGGUGGGCGCGACAACUCUCAUCGCCCUCCUCGAUACUGGCUCCACCCACAACUUCAUUGCCGAAGAGGCGGCACGACGAUCCGGGCUGCCCAUCCUACCCCGACCGCGACUCACGGCAACGGUGGCUAACGGCGACAAGGUGCCAUGUCCGGGGGUCAUCCGACAUGCCCCAAUCACCAUCAACGAUUUCAGUUUCGCCGUCGACCUGUUCGUUCUACCGCUUGCAGGGUAUGACUUGGUGCUCGGCACCCAGUGGAUGGAGAACCUCGGGCGUUUGACGUGGGACUUCACCGCGGGCACAGUGUCAUUUGUGCGCCAUGGCCGCACGAUCUGCUGGGCAGGGGUGCCGUUUCCGGAGGCGGUGGAGUCCUGUGCGGCCGCGACAUCGGCGCCUUUGCUCGAUGAGCUCCUUGUCGGUUUCGGGGAUGUCUUCAGGGAGCCGCAAGGACUGCCACCCACGCGCAACUGUGACCAUGCCAUCACCCUCAAGCCCGAUGCACAACCGGUGGCGGUUCGCCCCUAUCGCUAUCCGGCUGCACACAAGGACGAGAUGGAGCGGCAAUGCGCCGCAAUGAUCACACAGGGCAUUGUCCGGCGUAGCGUCUCGGCGUUCUCAUCGCCAGUACUCCUCGUCAAGAAGGCGGACGGCGCAUGGCGUUUUUGCGUCGACUACCGGGCCCUGAACGCACUCACCAUCAAGGACGCGUUCCCGAUUCCCGUUGUCGAUGAGCUGCUCGACGAACUUCACGGUGCCCGUUUCUUCACCAAACUCGACCUACGGUCGGGAUAUCACCAAGUUCGCAUGCGGCCUGAUGACAUCCACAAGACGGCGUUUCGAACUCACGACGGCCUCUACGAAUUUUUGGUGAUGCCAUUCGGAUUGUGCAACGCCCCGGCAACAUUUCAGGCACUCAUGAACGACGUCUUACGGCCAUUUCUGCGGCGCUUCGUACUUGUCUUUUUCGAUGACAUUCUUAUCUACAGCCAGACAUGGGCGGAGCACCUGCGCCAUCUUCGCGUCGUGCUCACUGAGCUCCGGAGACACCAACUCUUCGUCAAGCACAGCAAGUGCGCGUUCGGCGAGCAGUCGGUCUCCUACCUGGGCCACAACAUCUCGGCAUCCGGCGUCGCCAUGGACCCGACCAAGGUGCAGGCCAUCCGCGACUGGUCUGUACCUCGGUCCGCUCCACGGUUUACAAAACCGUUUAGCCUACAAAAACCGCUACCCACCGGUAACGGUUUACCGUCGGUAAACCGGUGAAAACCGGUAAAAACCGACCGGUUUGACCAAUUCAAAUCAAUUUGAAUUCGAAACGGUUUACCGGUGAAAAACCGGUGAAAAACCGGCGAGAAAUCGCUCUAAACCGUCGGUUAACCGUGAAACAAACCGGUUUUUGCUGUUUUUUACAGAAAAAAUGAAAUUUUUUGACAAGAUUUAUUUGUAGCUUGCUCAAUUCACAUUGCACAGUAAAUAUUAAUUGAUCUACACGACAUAUGUUCACCAAAAUAACAUACAACAUACAUAUGCAACCACAAACUCCAGUUCUCAUGCAACAAACAACCAGCGAACUUCGCAAUACUCAAAUACAAGUUCUUUUAUAACUCUCCAACAAGGCAAUUACACAUAGGUCAACUUAUUUCACAAUACUCAUAUGUUCAGCUCGAGUCAUAGUGAUAGUACUUAGGCAUAUUGGAAGUAUCGUGAUAUUGUUCCAAUCCGUCAUAGUGAUAGUGAUAGGUCUAUAGAUGUGAGAUACAUUAUCGAGAAAACAAGAACGGCAAACAAAUACUUAUCCACAAAGCAAAAAAUAUAUCGGUAUGUGUGUUUGGUGUUUGUGUAUUGCAUGUGCACCUCACCAAGUGUUGAACGUUUCUUCUGAUCAGCAAAUCUUAGGAACACAUACAUAAGAACUGGAGCUAAGGGUUCUAGAUUGAGUUUUGUCCAGACGGAUACUUAUUAGAAGAACUAAAGCUACUUGAUCCACGGAAUCCAUCUUGGACAGGAAAUGAAACCAAAUUUAACCACUAAAUGCCUAAACUUGACUUGAGCUACGGGAUUCAUUUUCAUAUAUAGCAUAUAACAUCUUCGCAUAUAGCUUAUAACAUUAAACAAGACUAAUAUAUACCUAAAUUGAUCAUUAAAUACUUAAUAGUGGCAUUAAAUCCGGUUUCCCGGCAGAAAAUAUCGGUUUACCGGUCUAAAAUAACGGUUUACCGGUCCCAAAAACGGUUUAUCAGCGGUUUUCGGUUUUUAUGAAAUUUUUCAAAUUUUUUAAAUUUGGAACGAAUUUGAAAAAAAAACCGGUGGUUAACCGAAACCGCACCCCGGCGAUUUCGGUAAACCGACCGGUUUACCGCCGGUUUUUACCGGUUUUGUAAACCUUGGUCCGCUCGGGCUGUGCGCGGCUUCCUCGGCUUGGCGGGCUACUACCGCAAAUUUGUCCACAACUACGGCACGGUCGCCGCUCCGCUGACCGCUCUCCUAAAAAAGGAGGGGUUCUCCUGGAACGACGCUGCGGCCGCGGCUUUUGAAGACCUCAAGUCUGCAGUCACUUCAGCGCCCGUCCUCGCCAUGCCAGAUUUCGCCAAGUCCUUCACCGUUGAGUGCGACGCUUCCUCUUUUGGUUUUGGCGCGGUCCUCAUCCAGGGAGGCCACCCGAUCGCUUUCUUCAGCAGGCCGAUCACUCCUCGUCAUCGCGCACUCGCUGCCUACGAGCGUGAGCUCAUCGGCCUUGUUCACGCCGUGCGGCACUGGAGGCCGUACUUGUGGGGACGCCGUUUUUUGGUGAAGACAGAUCACUACAGCCUCAAAUACUUGCUGGACCAGAGGCUCUCGACGACGCACCAGCACCGUUGGGUGGGGAAGCUUCUCGGCUUCGAUUUCGCCGUCGAGUACAAAUCCGGAGCAACGAACGUGGUCGCCGACGCGCUCUCACGCCGCGACACGGAGGACGGCGAGGAAGGAGCCACGCUAGCGCUCUCGGCUCCACGCUUCGACUUCAUCACUCGACUCCGACAGCACCAAGGCUCGGACCCGACACUCGUAGCGUUGCGCCAAGAGAUCACCAGCGGCGCACGGGGCACACCCUGGUCCCUGGUUGACGGCAUGAUCCAAUACAAGGACCGGCUCUACAUACCGCCUGCCGCCACUCUGAUCCAGGAAAUAGUCCAGGCGGUGCACGAGGACAACCACGAGGGCGUUCAGAGGACGCUGCACCGACUCCGCCGAGAUUUCCAUUUCCCUAACAUGAAACAAUUGGUGCAGGAUUUCGUUCGGGAGUGCAGCGUUUGCCAGCGUUACAAGUCGGAACACAUGAAUCCGGCGGGACUUCUCAUACCUCUGCCUGUGCCGAACAGUGUCUGGACCGACAUAGCGCUGGAUUUCAUCGAGGCGCUGCCCAAAGUGCGCGGCAAGUCCGUCAUUUUGACAGUGGUGGACCGUUUCAGCAAGUACUGUCACUUUAUACCACUGGCGCACCCGUACUCAGCAGAGUCUGUCGCAGAAGCUUUCUUCAUCAACAUUGUUCGUCUGCAUGGCGUACCACAGUCGAUGGUGUCGGAUCGCGAUCCGGUCUUCACAUCAAUAUUCUGGCGCGAGCUCAUGCGCCUGACAGGGACCAAGCUCCACAUGACUACAACAUUUCACCCUCAGUCGGAUGGACAGUCCGAGGCGGCUAACCGGGUCAUCAUUAUGUAUCUCCGCUGCCUUACAGAGGACAGGCCGCGACAAUGGCUGCGUUGGAUUCCGUGGGCGGAGUUCAUCUUCAAUACGGCGUACCAAACAUCCCUGCACGACACGCCAUUCCGUGUCGUCUACGGUCGCGAUCCACCGUCACUCCGAUCGUACGAGCCAGGCGACACGAGGGUCGCUGCCGUCGCCCGGAGCAUAGCAGAGCGCGACGAGUUCCUCGCCGACAUUCGCUCUCGGCUAGAGCAGGCGCAGCAGGUUCAGAAGCGCUACUACGACGCCGGACAUCGCCAGGUGGUCUACCAAGUAGGCGACUGGGUCCUCCUCCGCCUGCGUCAGCGUGCAGCCUCCUCGCUUCCUCAGGCCUCGACGGGAAAGCUAAAGCCCCGCUAUUUCGGGCCCUACUGCAUCACCGAGAUGAUCAACGACGUCGCCGUCCGUCUCGACUUACCAACCGGAGCCCGCCUGCAUGACGUGUUCCAUGUCGGACUUCUCAAGAAAUUCCAUGGGACUCCGCCAGCAGCACCUCCACCUCUGCCGACAAUUCACCAUGGCGCGGUUGUCCCAGAGCCGGAACACGCGGUGCGCUACCGACUUGCACGUGGUGUGCGCCAAGUGCUGAUUCAGUGGAAAGGUCAAUCAGCUGCAUCGGCCACCUGGGAGGACAUCGACACAUUCCGUGCCAAGCAUCCAGCGUUCCAGCUCGGGGACGAGCUGGGUCUCGACGGAGGGGGAGAUGUCAUGUGGGGACAAGUCUACACUAGGAGGCGCAGGGCCAGGGACGUACGUCGAGCAGAGGAACGUGCGGCCAGGGGGGACGCGCGCACAGCUGGCUCGAGCUGAUCGAGUAGAUAAGGCAGAUGGAUAUUAUUAGUUUUCCCUUAGGAGUUAUCAGUUCCAUAAUUUCAGGAGUUUGUUACUCCAGUUAGUUGGGCUAUGGCCCUAUAUAUUCUUGUAACCAGGACCAUUAAGGCAAGCAGAUUAUUAGCCUCAUCUCUCUCUUAUUUUCUAAAAGCCUACGGUAGAGGGGAAUAACCUCACCGGAGAAGACGGCCGACGGCUACGAGCUCCGUAGCCGCGGUCCAGCCAGCCAAGGGUUUAACGCCCUUGACAGUUUGUUUGUGGGCCUUUUGCUCUUUUCCUUUCAGUUCAGGUUGUUGUUUUUUCCUCUUUUUUCAACAGUUUUCUGGCUUUUCUGCCGUGGGUAAUCUGGUUUGGGAAGGCCAGCAAGCACUGAAGCACUCAAACUUUAUUUUGAGCAUUGCCCUUUCAGUGUCUUUUUGACUCCUGUGGUAUUUGUUUGUUCAGGAAAUAUGUUUUGUAUAUUUGGUUUUCAAGCCCUGUGGUAAUGUGACAUUCUUAGAGAUACCAUGGCUAUUUGGUUUCAGAUGUGGUAUUCUCAUUUCAUAGGUGCUGAGUUUGUAUUGGAGUACUUUGUUAGGUUCCAUGCCUUCGUAAGAUGUCUUAUUCUGUCAGGUUUCUUGCAAAUACAAACUCUCCCCCCCCCUCUGUGAUGUAGUAUGCUGAAGACAGAGGCCUUGUGUAUUUUCUGUAAUUGGUAAAAGUAAUUGGGAUUGUUGGUGAGAUCUGAAAACCCAGUUGAAAUGCUUUUAGGAAGUAUAGUUAUUUUUAUGUACACAAUGACAUGCCAGUUAUCUAUUAGUCCAGAAUCUGAGUGAAACCCAAAACAAAACUAGCUGAAUAUGAGGUUGUAACCAGUCCCUUUUUAUGGCUUACCUAUAUACAAUAAAUUGUAAAGUCACAAGUGAAUGAGGUAACAUGAAAAUGACUAAUUCAUGGCUAAAAUGCAUCGGUUUCACUUGCUAUAUUCAAGGAGUUAGUGUUAUGAAUCUGAUCAAUCAGAGCUUGAAAGUUGUUUUCAAGUCUCUAAAUCACCAACAAUUUUAGCAUGUCCUUCUACUCUAAGUGGAAGGCGACCUGGCCAUAUACUUGUUUUUUCCGGUUGGCCAAUGCGGCGAAAGUUGAUAUCUGAUGUAGGUGUGCAAUCUGGAGAGUUGGUGGGCAUUGAUGCUUUUAUGUUUCUGGUUGCUAGCAGUAAUUCAUAGGCUCUGCCUUAUUUAUCUAAUGUAUUUGUUGCUUUACACUGUAAAUCUUCUUUCCCGUGGAAUUAUCUUAUUUGGUUCAGAGAUAUACUGCUAACUAUCUUAUUGUCAGUUGCUAGACAUAAGACUGUGUUCAGCGGUUCUCCCCCUAUAUCCCACUCACGUGCCACGUCAGCGUUCUCUUCCCCCCUAUAUCUCCACGCUCUACAGCGGUUCCCCCUAUAUCAAACCUCCACAUCCAUAAAAUAUUAUUUCCUAUACCAAUUUAUCAUCCAUUAUAAUUUUUUCUCUACUAACUAUUGUUGUCUAACUAUUGUUGUCGGCACAAAACCCAAG
RNAcentral lists this long non-coding RNA (12916 nucleotides) under Zea mays. Its description in RNAcentral is "long non-coding RNA (ZMAY_LNC004659)". The record is from RNAcentral. Lineage: Eukaryota; Viridiplantae; Streptophyta; Magnoliopsida; Poales; Poaceae.